Molecule: small nucleolar RNA, 126 nt
Filed under: Sorex araneus (European shrew)
Lineage: Eukaryota; Metazoa; Chordata; Mammalia; Eulipotyphla; Soricidae
Description: Small nucleolar RNA SNORA31 (ENSSARG00000020192.1)
Source: RNAcentral
AAACCCACUGAUGGGCGGUGAACACGUCGCUCUUCUCUCCGGGUUGGCAGGAGGAGGCUAGAGGAAACAAUCCCAGCGCUUUCUGCCCGUCUCCGUGGCAGCCACACCGAGUGUGGGAGCACUGCA